UGUCAUUCACUCUACUCACUUCAGAGCCCUGAAAACUGUGGGUGGUGCCUCAGACAGUGAUGAUAGAAGGAGCCCUCUGGAGAAAGCAUGUUGGACUUGGGAAUUUGGGAGAUGAGAAAAGCCUUUACUCUCACCCUAUACCCUCUGAAGAGUCUCUUCAUUAAGAUCUUCUGGGAACCUACCACUCUGACCUCGAGAAGGCUUGAAGUAGAGUCACAUCAAAGAACAAUGCCGUGAGCACACAUCUCCCUUCACGACUCCUGGUCCAGGCCAGAAGAAGGCAUUGGAUCCCCUGUAAUUAGAGUUACAGAGAGCUAUGAAGCACCAUGUAAUGGCUGGGAGCUGAACUAGCUUCUCUGCAGGAGCAACCAAUGCUCUUAACUGCUGAGCCAUUUCUUCAGUUCUGAAGCCAACUAUCUUGGUCAGCUGAGCUGCAAUGGCAAGAUCCAAACUGUGAGAAAGGACACAACACAAAAUAAAAGAAUCUUCUGGAAGAUUUCUAUAGAUCACACUUGGGCCCACUGUGACUCUGGCAUGACUGCCAUUGAGAAGCCAUCAGCCUCAAAACAAGGGAGCCAGCUGACCAUGAGUUGAAACCCCUGGAACUGUGAGCUGAAAUGAAAUUGCCCACCUUUUAAGAAUUUUAUCUCAGGUAAUUUUCAGCAACAUAAACCUGACUAAUACACUGUGCACUGGUUAUGUUCCACACUGGCUGGCCAACAAGGUAGGGGAAGAGGGGUGAACCUCAAGAGUGCUCAGAGCCUUCUCAGAAAGGAAGGUAGAAAGUAGGGUCCAGCUUACAAUGCCAUUGUGUCUGACCCAAAAGUCAACCAUGGUGACUCAAACUUAAACUACCGACCUUUGCCAUCCAGUACUGUUCAUAUGCUUCACUUUGGUUAUCACGAAGGACAUUUCCUCAAAGAGUUUAUAGUUUUGGAACCUUCAGAAACUCCAAAGUAUAUCCAGCUUUCUUCAGAACCAAAAGGCUAG
This 990-nucleotide long non-coding RNA is filed under the name Cricetulus griseus (Chinese hamster). Its description in RNAcentral is "lncRNA (ENSCGRG00015037667.1)". The record is from RNAcentral. Lineage: Eukaryota; Metazoa; Chordata; Mammalia; Rodentia; Cricetidae.